Molecule: ribosomal RNA, 392 nt
Filed under: uncultured bacterium
Lineage: Bacteria
Description: partial 16S ribosomal RNA
Rfam family: Bacterial small subunit ribosomal RNA
Source: RNAcentral
AUACGGAGGAUCCGAGCGUUAUCCGGAUUUAUUGGGUUUAAAGGGUGCGCAGGCGGCCAUUUAAGUCAGCGGUUAAAUCGUGGGGCUCAACCCCAUUCUGCCGUUGAUACUGGGUGGCUUGAUUGCGGUCGAGGUUGGCGGACUUCGUUGUGUAGCGGUGAAAUGCAUAGAUAUGACGAAGAACACCGAUUGCGUAGGCAGCUGACCAGACCGCAAAUGACGCUCAUGCACGAAAGUGCGGGGAUCGAACAGGAUUAGAUACCCUGGUAGUCCGCACAGUAAACGAUGAAUACUUGUUUUCGGCGAUAUAAUGUCGGAGGCAAAGCGAAAGCGAUAAGUAUUCCACCUGGGGAGUACGCCGGCAACGGUGAAACUCAAAUGAAUUGGCGGGG